CGCGUAGGUGGUUUGUUAAGUUGGAUGUGAAAGCCCCGGGCUCAACCUGGGAACUGCAUCCAAAACCUGGCAAGCUAGAGUACGGUAGGGGGUGGUGGAAUUUCCUGUGUAGCGGUGAAAUGCGUAGAUAUAGGAAGGAACACCAGUGGCGAAGGCGACCACCUGGACUGAUACUGACACUGAGGUGCGAAAGCGUGGGGAGCAAACA
RNAcentral lists this ribosomal RNA (208 nucleotides) under uncultured bacterium. Its description in RNAcentral is "partial 16S ribosomal RNA". It matches the Rfam family "Bacterial small subunit ribosomal RNA", at positions 568 to 774 of the family's 1533-position model. The record is from RNAcentral.